Non-coding RNA from Pelobates cultripes (western spadefoot toad), 272 nucleotides. NCBI's taxonomy places the organism in Eukaryota, Metazoa, Chordata, Amphibia, Anura, Pelobatidae. The record is from the annotation of a GenBank genome assembly.
CUUAAACAAACAGAACGCCUAUCGACAUUUAGCACCAGGAAUGGCAUCUGUUUAGCCAUGAUAAAUCUCUCCUGAGUAUUUUUGAAACAUUUCCACCUGCGAUUCACUGUAUGUCAAAAUUUUAACUGCAGCUUAUUUACUAAGAGACAGCGGUGCCCAAACAGAGUUGAACAGGAUAAUAAUCCCCAUUGUGCUGUAAAUUCUAUUAAGCACGCAGUCAUUUUUUAGUAACAAGAAUAUAUGACAUAUUACAAGAGAUUCUAGAAUUAUAA